Molecule: non-coding RNA, 496 nt
Organism: Pelobates cultripes (western spadefoot toad)
Lineage: Eukaryota; Metazoa; Chordata; Amphibia; Anura; Pelobatidae
Source: the annotation of a GenBank genome assembly
CCCCAAAUCGCUCUCAAAUUUAUUUUAAUAUCAGUUUUCUUAAUCCACAGCUGGCAAAUCUUGCUGUCAAUCCAUUUACAAACAUACACUUCACAUUAGUAUUGCUAACAUAAAUGUGUACACAUAUAUACAGAAAUAGUAACUAUUUAUAUCAAAGUACACUUGUCUGAAUGACAUAGCAGCUUAUCAAAUAAGAAUUCAAUUCUAACUUAGGAAUCAUUUCACAUACUUAAACCUGCCAGUGAUUUCUCUCUUUACACUUUAAUAAGUUCUUCCUUAUUUGCUUCAUUCUAACCUUAACCUUCUGAGUGUCAGUCAGGGGUGAGUGACCCAUGCACCAGCACUAAAAGGGUUAAUGGUCAAACGAACACCAGCAAUAAAUAAAAUACACAAAAGCAUAUGGCAUGGUAUUCAAAGGUGAAACAUUCAACAGCAAAUUGAGUGAUAUGGUUUAACACCUUGUCACCGGGAAAGCACUGACAAUAAAUAACGUUUU